Harmonia axyridis is the source of this 568-nucleotide long non-coding RNA. RefSeq lists it as uncharacterized. NCBI's taxonomy places the organism in Eukaryota, Metazoa, Arthropoda, Insecta, Coleoptera, Coccinellidae. The transcript has 4 exons. The record is from RefSeq and is a predicted model, not a curated record.
CGAUGAUCUUGACCUCACUUUUUUCCCGAUCCAACAGGACGAUAUCGGGUCUGUUGUGCUGUACUGGCCUAUCGGUUAUUAUUGAUGUGUCCCAGUACAGCUUGUAUCUAUCGUUCUCCAGAACCUCACUCGGCAGGUAUUCUCUUGGAGCCAAUAUUGGGCAAGAGGAAGUAAUAUGCUGAAUAUGUUCAGUAGCCUGGUUGCAUCUCCUGCAUUGAUCGGUUGGUAAGUUCUGCCCCGCGAUGCGUUUUAGGAAAGCUCUAGUGCCAACAACCUGGUCCUGCACUGCUAGAAUUCGGCCUUCAGUCUCGGGAAACAGGUUUUUGGGGUACCUGCCAUGCAAUGGCUUAGAGUACCAUUCCUCUCGGAGUUUCUCCACAGUAACACCCAGCAGUGGCGUAGUUGCAGAUGACAAAUGCAAUGGUGUAAUGUUUUCAUCCGCUUCGCAUAUUGUCUUUUUUAAAGGGAGCUCUUCAUGUCCUUGGACCUUAUCUCGAGCGCUUGUUGUAUGCCAAGAUAUUUAUACGAUUCUUGCGGGCCUAGAUGGGGCAGCUCCUCCUCGCCGGUA